GACGAACGCUGGCGGCGUGCUUAACACAUGCAAGUCGAACGGACAGGCCCUGCUUUUGUGGGGUGCUCGAGUGGCGAACGGGUGAGUAACACGUGAGUAACCUGCCCCUGACUUACGGGUAACUUCUCGAAAAUGGGGCGCAUACAGGAUAGGAUCUCCUGAUGCGCGGGGGGCGUUGGAAAGUUUCGGCGGUUGGGGCUGGAAUGGCUGCUUAUGCGCUUGAUGGUCGGGUUGUGGUUUACCAAGGCUUUGACGGGUAGCCGGCCUGAGAGCGUGACCGGCCACAUUGGGACUGAGAGACGGCCCAGACGCCAACGGGAGGCAGCAGUGGGGAAUAUUGCGCAAUGGGCGGAAGCCUGAUGUAGCAACGCCGCGUGCGUGAUGACGGCCUUCGGGUUGUAAACCGCUGUCGCCUGUGACGAAGCGUGAGUGACGGUACUGGGUAAAGAAGCACCGGCUAACUACGUG
This 468-nucleotide ribosomal RNA is filed under the name uncultured bacterium. Its description in RNAcentral is "partial 16S ribosomal RNA". It matches the Rfam family "Bacterial small subunit ribosomal RNA", at positions 28 to 507 of the family's 1533-position model. The record is from RNAcentral.